GCGGAUGUAGCUCAGUGGUAGAGCAUCUGCCUAGCAAGUAUGAGGCUCUGGGUUCAAUUCCCAGUACUAGGA
Molecule: non-coding RNA, 72 nt
Organism: Heterocephalus glaber (naked mole-rat)
Lineage: Eukaryota; Metazoa; Chordata; Mammalia; Rodentia; Bathyergidae
Source: Rfam